UACGGGGGGGGCAAGCGUUGUUCGGAAUUACUGGGCGUAAAGGGCUCGUAGGCGGCCAACUAAGUCAGACGUGAAAUCCCUCGGCUUAACCGGGGAACUGCGUCUGAUACUGGAUGGCUUGAGAUUGGGAGAGGGAUGCGGAAUUCCAGGUGUAGCGGUGAAAUGCGUAGAUAUCUGGAGGAACACCGGUGGCGAAGGCGGCAUCCUGGACCAACACUGACGCUAAGGAGCGAAAGCCAGGGGAGCAAACAGG
Molecule: ribosomal RNA, 253 nt
Filed under: uncultured bacterium
Lineage: Bacteria
Description: partial 16S ribosomal RNA
Rfam family: Bacterial small subunit ribosomal RNA
Source: RNAcentral